Molecule: transfer RNA, 74 nt
Filed under: Ophiocordycipitaceae sp.
Lineage: Eukaryota; Fungi; Ascomycota; Sordariomycetes; Hypocreales; Ophiocordycipitaceae
Description: tRNA-His
Rfam family: tRNA
About the family: Transfer RNA (tRNA) molecules are approximately 80 nucleotides in length. Their secondary structure includes four short double-helical elements and three loops (D, anti-codon, and T loops). Further hydrogen bonds mediate the characteristic L-shaped molecular structure. tRNAs have two regions of fundamental functional importance: the anti-codon, which is responsible for specific mRNA codon recognition, and the 3' end, to which the tRNAs corresponding amino acid is attached (by aminoacyl-tRNA synthetases). tRNAs cope with the degeneracy of the genetic code in two manners: having more than one tRNA (with a specific anti-codon) for a particular amino acid; and 'wobble' base-pairing, i.e. permitting non-standard base-pairing at the 3rd anti-codon position.
Source: RNAcentral
GUAGAAAUAGCUUAAACGGUAGAGUGACUAUUUGUGGCAUAGUUAGGUCCAGGUUCGAUUCCUGGUUUUUGCCC